ACUUUGUAUGAUGAUACUAUUUUUUUUUACAGUUAUCCCUGUCUAAAGCAUAGUGUUGAGAAUGGUAAAUCUGAAUAAUCU
Molecule: non-coding RNA, 81 nt
Organism: Schizosaccharomyces pombe (fission yeast)
Lineage: Eukaryota; Fungi; Ascomycota; Schizosaccharomycetes; Schizosaccharomycetales; Schizosaccharomycetaceae
Source: Rfam